This is a small nucleolar RNA of Sorex fumeus (smoky shrew), 164 nucleotides long. RefSeq annotates it as small nucleolar RNA SNORA23. NCBI's taxonomy places the organism in Eukaryota, Metazoa, Chordata, Mammalia, Eulipotyphla, Soricidae. The transcript has a single exon. The record is from RefSeq and is a predicted model, not a curated record.
GCUGUGUUGUGUGCAUAGUUUUUGUCUGUGCUAAUGCUGCUGUCUGUUUAUGCUUUGUAUUCAUGUUUGCUAUUCACACAAAUAUCAAGCUGUCAAAAUUUACUGGUCUAGUGUUUUCUAUUGGGACAUAACUACCACUUGACAACAUCCAAAUUCCUACAUGU